ACUUUGAUCCUCAAAGUUUAAUUUAUUGCGAUUCUAGCUCUAACUUUCUAUAUUAUUGCAAUCAAGUUCACAUGGCAUGCAGUUUAUUUGAUUCAAUAAUCUUGAUGUACUUGUUACUGAUAUUAUAAUGAGUAAUAUUUUCGACAUGACGGCAACAUCAAUUCAAAUAUUGCAACACCACUGUCGUAUCAGCGGAAUACUAUCAUUUAGUCAAUUAAAUUGGACUGUAAGGCUUACUUGUAACGCACAGAAGUUUAGUGUUUAAGGACUGAAGUGUCACG
Molecule: long non-coding RNA, 281 nt
Filed under: Ananas comosus (pineapple)
Lineage: Eukaryota; Viridiplantae; Streptophyta; Magnoliopsida; Poales; Bromeliaceae
Description: long non-coding RNA (ACOM_LNC009940)
Source: RNAcentral